Molecule: long non-coding RNA, 479 nt
Filed under: Dromaius novaehollandiae (emu)
Lineage: Eukaryota; Metazoa; Chordata; Aves; Casuariiformes; Dromaiidae
Description: lncRNA (ENSDNVG00000016085.1)
Source: RNAcentral
CCAGCAGCUCAACAAUAGUCGGCAAAGAGCAUUUAAAGGCAUUUUGGCUAGUAUCUGACUCUGCGGUGAAACUAAUUUCAGCUGUGGCUGUUUUGAUGGAGUUCUGCAAAGAUACUGCACAAGAGAUCUAGCGGUCCCAGCUUAGACGACAAAGAGUUUGCAAAUACAGUCAUAUUGUUGCAGGGAAACAUGGCAAGAAAGGAUAAGUCCACUAAAGGCUUUAGAUGCCUCCAAAACACAGAGAACCACCUAUUUACAGUGGCUAAAAACUGGACAACUGGUCCUGUGAAAACUGRGCAUGGACAACCUACCUCUGUGUAUGACAUGUGUAGUCCAAUGACAGUCAUCAACAGUGAAUCCUGAAUGCCUCUGUCAUUGCAUUUAACUUCAUUGACAUGUUGUGUCAUAUUAUUAAAUUGGUUUUGUCAGCUUUUUAUUGAAACUUCUCUACUGAAACUGCAACCUGCCUAUGAGCUGAA